ACGGGGCGCAGCAGUGAGGAAUAUUGGUCAAUGGCCGAGAGGCUGAACCAGCCAAGUCGCGUGAGGGAUAACGGCCCUACGGGUUGUAAACCUCUUUUGUCGGGGAGCAAAGAGAGUCACGUGUGACUCAUUGAGAGUACCCGAAGAAAAAGCAUCGGCUAACUCCGUGCCAGCAGCCGCGGUAAUACGGAGGAUGCGAGCGUUAUCCGGAUUUAUUGGGUUUAAAGGGUGCGCAGGCGGAGGUGCAAGUCAGCGGUCAAAUUGCGGGGCUCAACCCCGUACUGCCGUUGAAACUGCAUCCCUUG
This 305-nucleotide ribosomal RNA is filed under the name uncultured bacterium. RNAcentral describes it as "bacterial SSU rRNA". It matches the Rfam family "Bacterial small subunit ribosomal RNA", at positions 341 to 644 of the family's 1533-position model. The record is from RNAcentral.